GCACGGUCGAAUAAAUGUGCAGUCUGGCCUGCCCCCUGAGAACUUUAAAGGGCCGCGGUAUCUGGACCGUGCUAAGGUAGCAUAAUAAAUAGUCUUUUAAUUGGAGUCUAGUAUGAAUGGUCGGACAUGAAGUAAGCUGUUUUAACUUUGAUGCUUGAAUUUUACCUUUAAGUGAAAAGGCUUAGAUUGGAUGGUGGGACGAUAAGACCCUAUAAAGCUUUACGUUUUACUUAUCAGUUGUGAGAAUUAGGGUUUCUUAUUCUUAUUGAGUAGAGCGUUCCGUUGGGGCGACGGAAAUAUAAAUAAGUAACUGUUUUUGCUUGCAAAAUAUGAUUUUAUAGAUGAGUUGAUCCUUUCUAGAGAUUAUAAGACUUGAGUUACUUUAGGGAUAACAGCGUAAUUUAUCUUGAGAGUUCAUAUCGACAGAUAUAGUUGCGACCUCGAUGUUGAAUUAAAAUACCCCCUAGGUGUAGCAGUUUCGGUGGUAGGUCUGUUCGACCUUUAAAAU
RNAcentral lists this ribosomal RNA (508 nucleotides) under Caridina zeylanica. RNAcentral describes it as "partial 16S ribosomal RNA". It matches the Rfam family "Bacterial large subunit ribosomal RNA", at positions 1831 to 2594 of the family's 2925-position model. The record is from RNAcentral. Lineage: Eukaryota; Metazoa; Arthropoda; Malacostraca; Decapoda; Atyidae.